CCUACGGGAGGCAGCAGUGAGGAAUAUUGGUCAAUGGACGAGAGUCUGAACCAGCCAAGUAGCGUGAAGGAUGACUGCCCUAUGGGUUGUAAACUUCUUUUAUAUGGGAAUAAAACGUUCCACGUGUGGGAUUUUGUAUGUACCAUAUGAAUAAGGCUCGGCUAACUCCGUGCCAGCAGCCGCGGUAAUACGGAGGAUCCGAGCGUUAUCCGGAUUUAUUGGGUUUAAAGGGAGCGUAGGUGGAUUGUUAAGUCAGUUGUGAAAGUUUGCGGCUCAACCGUAAAAUUGCAGUUGAAACUGGCAGUCUUGAGUACAGUAGAGGUGGGCGGAAUGCGUGGUGUAGCGGUGAAAUGCUUAGAUAUCACGAAGAACUCCGAGUGCGAAGGCAGUUCACUGGACUGCAACUGACACUGAGGCUCGAAAGUGUGGGUAUCAAACAGGAUUAGAUACCCUUGUAGUC
This 460-nucleotide ribosomal RNA is filed under the name uncultured bacterium. Its description in RNAcentral is "partial 16S ribosomal RNA". It matches the Rfam family "Bacterial small subunit ribosomal RNA", at positions 338 to 795 of the family's 1533-position model. The record is from RNAcentral.